This 498-nucleotide ribosomal RNA is filed under the name uncultured bacterium. RNAcentral's name for it is "partial 16S ribosomal RNA". It matches the Rfam family "Bacterial small subunit ribosomal RNA", at positions 28 to 507 of the family's 1533-position model. The record is from RNAcentral.
GACGAACGCUGGCGGCGUGCCUAAUACAUGCAAGUCGAGCGGACUGAAUGGGAGCUUGCUCUUGUUCCGUCAGCGGCGGACGGGUGAGUAACACGUGGGCAACCUGCCCGCAAGACCGGGAUAACUCCGGGAAACCGGAGCUAAUACCGGAUAACACCGAAGACCGCAUGGUCUUUUGUUGAAAGGCGGCGCAAGCUUCCACUUUCGGAUGGUCCCGCGCCGCUUUAGCUAGUUGGUAAGGUAACGGCUCCCAAAGGCACCGUGGCGAACCCGACGUGGAGGGGGAACGGGCACACCGGGAAUGGGAAACGGGCCAGACUCCUACGGGGAGGAGGAGUAGGGAAACUUCCGCAAUAGGCGAAAGGCUGACGGAGCGACGGCGCGGGAGGGGAGAAGGGCUUCGGGUCGUAAAGAUCUGGUGAGAGGGGCGAAGGAGCGGUGUAUGAAGAAAGCGGCGCGGUGACGGUACCUAACGAGGAAGCCACGGCUAACUACGUG